GGGGGUUUAGCUCAGCGGUAGAGCGCUUGCCUAGCAAGCGCAAGGCCCUGGGUUCGAUCCCCAGCUCCG
Molecule: transfer RNA, 69 nt
Filed under: Rattus norvegicus (Norway rat)
Lineage: Eukaryota; Metazoa; Chordata; Mammalia; Rodentia; Muridae
Rfam family: tRNA
About the family: Transfer RNA (tRNA) molecules are approximately 80 nucleotides in length.
Source: Rfam by way of RNAcentral